GGAGAGGGUCAUAACUCAGUGGGAGAGCAUCUGCUUUGCAUGCAGAAGGUCUAAGUACAAUCGUUGGCAUCUCCA
Podarcis lilfordi (Lilford's wall lizard) is the source of this 75-nucleotide non-coding RNA. NCBI's taxonomy places the organism in Eukaryota, Metazoa, Chordata, Lepidosauria, Squamata, Lacertidae. The record is from the annotation of a GenBank genome assembly.